AAAAAAAAUCAGAAAACACAGAAUCCCUAAAGUCUAAGCACUCACUCUCGUCUCUCGCAUCUCUUCACCUCCGGCUCUGGUCUAGCAGAUUCGAUGUAUUUCUACGGCCGACAACAAGAUCGCCGUCGUGAACGACAACAAGUACCAGUUCUAUUACAAAAGGUGCAAGUUGUGUUUAAAAAGGCGACGCCUAGGCUCGAGGCGAGGUAAGGUUAAAGGUUCAUCUCCUCUAAUAGAUGAGGCUAGGCUCUGGCCCAAAGGCUGUCGCUCCGUGACGCCGUGGUAUCAAACGCACCUCUCGUCGCUUUGCGCCUAUGAAAAUAAAAGUUGCGCCUCAGAUACCAAAGGCUCGGAGUGAAGUGCGCCUAGGCUCAGGGCUCAAACCAGCCCUUCAUCGCCUUACGUCGCCUCGCGCCAUUUAAAACACAGUGCAGCAUAGAAGGCUUCCUCCUCGAGCAAGAUUAUGGAAGAAGAUGAUUAUUUCAAUGGUCUCAGCCAAACUGCCUCAUCUGGUGUUAUACUCUCUCGAGUUGUGCUGAACAAAGAAUAUCUCAAGGUACUCAUUUGUUUGAUUUUCAAUUACUGCAGUUUGGUUAAUCGUUUGUUUCAUUUUGAAUUGGUGCAGUUUUUGUUUAUACUUUGUUUCAUUUGAAUUGGUGCAGUUUAGUUUAUAAUUUGUUUGAUUUUGAAUUGGUGCAGUAUGUUUUAUAAGUUUUUUUGAUUUUGAAUUAAUUCUCAUAUGUUUUGGUGAGUUCAGUUUGCUAUAUUCAUCUGAUAUUGUGUUUGAUUAUGAACGUUGCUUGACUCUUAUUUCUUUUGUUUCUUUCACUGUGUGGUAAGUCUUAAAACGGGUAUAUCUAUGGACUAGGCAGUGUUCAACACAAGGAUAUCAAUCUGUUAAGAGAAACUAAGCAUUUCUACGGCACUGCUCCUCGUCACGGUUAUCCGGUUCAAGCUCGUCCUGCUGUUAACCCGACAGCCCCUCCAACAAGAACACAACAAAGCAAAGUAGAUGGUUGAGGUGCAUCAGAAGAAAUAUAAUGUAGUAAUUAUGUUAUUUUGUGUGAAUGUGCAUUCAUUUAGCCUUUUGGUAAGCUACAAGACUAAUUAGCAAAUGUAAUCUUCUUAUUAGGAUUUUAUAUUAAUUAUUCAGGUUUAAUUAAUGUUAUUAAUCACGAUUUCAUGCAA
Long non-coding RNA from Capsella rubella, 1188 nucleotides. RefSeq lists it as uncharacterized. The transcript is spliced from 4 exons. The record is from RefSeq and is a predicted model, not a curated record. NCBI's taxonomy places the organism in Eukaryota, Viridiplantae, Streptophyta, Magnoliopsida, Brassicales, Brassicaceae.